UACGUAGGCAGCAGGCGUUGUUCGGAGUUACUGGGCGUAAAGAGUGCGUAGGCGGUGCUCCAAGUCUGUUGUGAAAUCUCCCGGCUUAACUGGGAGGGUGCGGUGGAAACUGGGGUGCUUGAGUGUGGGAGAGGUAAGCGGAAUUCCUGGUGUAGCGGUGAAAUGCGUAGAUAUCAGGAGGAACACCGGUGGUGUAGACGGCUUACUGGACCAUGACUGACGCUGAGGCACGAAAGCGUGGGGAGCAAACAGG
Molecule: ribosomal RNA, 253 nt
Filed under: uncultured bacterium
Lineage: Bacteria
Description: partial 16S ribosomal RNA
Rfam family: Bacterial small subunit ribosomal RNA
Source: RNAcentral